AGGAUAAACGCUGGCGGCGUGCCUAACACAUGCAAGUCGAACGUCCUUGCGGUCUUCUUCUUCGGAGGAGGACCGCGAGGGAGUGGCGGACGGGUGAGUAACACAUGGGUACCUGCCUUUCAGUGAGGAAUACCGGCGAGAAAUCGCCGACAAGACCGCAUAGGCUUCCUUCGGUAGCCCGAGGGAAGCAAAGUUACUUCGCGAGAGGUGACGCUGGAAGAGGGGCCUGUGGCCGAUUAGCUAGUUGGGGGGGUAACGGCCUCCCAAGGCGACGAUCGGUAGCUGGUCUGAGAGGACGAUCAGCCACACUGGGAUUGAGAACGGCCCAGACUCCUACGGGGGGCAGCAGUGAGGAAUUUUCCGCAAUGGACGCAAGUCUGACGGAGCAACGCCGCGUGCAGGAUGACGGCCUUCGGGUUGUAAACUGCUUUUCUGUGAGACGAGAACGGACGGUAUCACAGGAAUCAGCCCCGGCUAACUACGCGCCGGCAGCCGCGGU
This 499-nucleotide ribosomal RNA is filed under the name uncultured bacterium. RNAcentral describes it as "SSU rRNA". It matches the Rfam family "Bacterial small subunit ribosomal RNA", at positions 26 to 521 of the family's 1533-position model. The record is from RNAcentral.